Molecule: ribosomal RNA, 186 nt
Filed under: uncultured microorganism
Description: partial 16S ribosomal RNA
Rfam family: Bacterial small subunit ribosomal RNA
Source: RNAcentral
CCUACGGGAGGCAGCAGUGAGGAAUAUUGCGCAAUGGACGAAAGUCUGACGCAGCAACGCCGCGUGCAGGAUGACGGCCCUCCGGGUUGUAAACUGCUGUAGCAGGGGAAUAAUACUCGCUUAUGGCGAGUUGAAGGUACCCUGAAAGUAAGCUCCGGCUAACUACGUGCCAGCAGCCGCGGUAAU